CCUACGGGAGGCAGCAGUAGGGAAUUUUCCACAAUGGGCGCAAGCCUGAUGGAGCAACACCGCGUGAGUGAAGAAGGGUUUCGGCUCGUAAAGCUCUGUUGUUGGAGAAGAACGUGCGUGAGAGUAACUGUUCACGCAGUGACGGUAUCCAACCAGAAAGUCACGGCUAACUACGUGCCAGAAGCCGCGGUAAUACGUAGGUGGCAAGCGUUAUCCGGAUUGAUUGGGCGUAAAGCGAGCGCAGGCGGUCGCUUAGGUCUGAUGUGAACGCCGUCGGCUUAACCGAAGAAGUGCAUCGGAAACCGGGCGACUUGAGUGCAGAAGAGGACAGUGGAACUCCAUGUGUAGCGGUGGAAUGCGUAGAUAUAUGGAAGAACACCAGUGGCGAAGGCGGCUGUCUGGUCUGCAACUGACGCUGAGGCUCGAAAGCAUGGGUAGCGAACAGGAUUAGAUACCCUUGUAGUC
RNAcentral lists this ribosomal RNA (465 nucleotides) under uncultured bacterium. RNAcentral describes it as "partial 16S ribosomal RNA". It matches the Rfam family "Bacterial small subunit ribosomal RNA", at positions 338 to 795 of the family's 1533-position model. The record is from RNAcentral.